UACGAAGGGGGCUAGCGUUGCUCGGAAUCACUGGGCGUAAAGGGUGCGUAGGCGGGUUUUUAAGUCAGAGGUGAAAUCCUGGAGCUCAACUCCAGAACUGCCUUUGAUACUGAAAGUCUUGAGUAUGGGAGAGGUGAGUGGAACUGCGGGUGUAGAGGUGAAAUUCGUAGAUAUUCGCAAGAACACCAGUGGCGAAGGCGGCUCACUGGCCCAUAACUGACGCUGAGGCACGAAAGCGUGGGGAGCAAACGGG
Molecule: ribosomal RNA, 253 nt
Filed under: uncultured bacterium
Lineage: Bacteria
Description: partial 16S ribosomal RNA
Rfam family: Bacterial small subunit ribosomal RNA
Source: RNAcentral